UGGGAAUUAGUUCAGUUUGGUAGAACACAUGAUUGGGAUCAUGAGGUCGUAAGUUCGAGUCUUACAUUUCCAA
This 73-nucleotide transfer RNA is filed under the name Caudoviricetes sp. RNAcentral's name for it is "tRNA-OTHER". It matches the Rfam family "tRNA". Rfam says of the family: Transfer RNA (tRNA) molecules are approximately 80 nucleotides in length. Their secondary structure includes four short double-helical elements and three loops (D, anti-codon, and T loops). Lineage: Duplodnaviria; Heunggongvirae; Uroviricota; Caudoviricetes. The record is from RNAcentral.